AACGUAGGUUCCGAGCGUUAUCCGGAUUUACUGGGCGUAAAGCGCGUUCAGGCGGUUUGGCAAGUCGGGCAUGAAAUCUCUCGGCUCAACCGGGAGAGGUUGUCCGAUACUGCUGGACUUGAGGGCAGUAGAGGGUGGUGGAAUUCCGGGUGUAAUGGUGAAAUGCGUAGAUAUCCGGAGGAACACCAGUGGCGAAAGCGGCCACCUGGACUGCACCUGACGCUGACACGCGAAAGCUAGGGGAGCGAACGGG
This 253-nucleotide ribosomal RNA is filed under the name uncultured bacterium. RNAcentral describes it as "partial 16S ribosomal RNA". It matches the Rfam family "Bacterial small subunit ribosomal RNA", at positions 524 to 776 of the family's 1533-position model. The record is from RNAcentral.